AAAGUGCUAGUUUAAAAUACAUGUUUGCA
RNAcentral lists this non-coding RNA (29 nucleotides) under Mus musculus (house mouse). Lineage: Eukaryota; Metazoa; Chordata; Mammalia; Rodentia; Muridae. The record is from RNAcentral.